Molecule: transfer RNA, 83 nt
Organism: Colletotrichum sublineola
Lineage: Eukaryota; Fungi; Ascomycota; Sordariomycetes; Glomerellales; Glomerellaceae
Rfam family: tRNA
About the family: Transfer RNA (tRNA) molecules are approximately 80 nucleotides in length. Their secondary structure includes four short double-helical elements and three loops (D, anti-codon, and T loops).
Source: Rfam
GGCUGGCUGGCCAAAUGGUAAGGCGUCGGACUCCUAUCAAGAAUGCAAUCCGAAGAUUCUGGGUUCGAGUCCCAGGUUGGUCG